UCGCGAGCACCACACGCACCCAGGCAGCCCGGAUUUGUGAAAAUGGCGGUGUAAAAUCGACUCCCCUCCCACCGCUUUGAUUUAGUACAACUAAUUAAGUUCACCUGCCAACAGUCCCUUCAUGUUGCUUCUGGUUUUGGACGACUUUAUGGAGGAAAUAAGUAGGUAGGCCUAUGUUUUACCUGUAACGUCGAUUCCCUCGGCGGGCGGCGGUUGGCCAUCAAACUGCGCACUUCUACCGGAGUGCUUUCCUGUCCUACUGUGGGAGCUUUGGGAACAGCACCGACUCCUGUCCAGCAAGAUGCACCUGAGACUACCACAGCAUCACUCCAUAUAGGCCUAUAGCCUACAGAACGCUGUUGAGAGUUGCUGGGGCAUUGCCGAACUCUAUUCCCCUCCUGCUAAGGCAGCUGUUUAGAGGCCCUCAUCAAUAAGAGAGAACUGUAAGGAAACCAGCAUGAAAAGCACGGCCUCUCCCUCCCCUCCCGAUCCCACAAUAACACCCACGGCCCAAUCUGAGGCGCAGUAACGUAGUGAUACCCAACUCUGGUCCCACCCAGUAACCGGCUCUUUGUUGAAGGAUGGCACAGGCAGAAUUCAGGUGCUGAGAAGAAGGGAGACAACCGGCUGGAUAUCCGAUUCCUCGUUGGCCUUCUUCAACAUGCUGAACCAAUCCUCCAGAUUCUCAAAGCUCUGGUAGUUGGUGAUAUCGUAAACCAGAAGAACCCCCUGCAUUGGAAAAACAAAAAGGAACAACACAGUCCUCAGACGUUGAUUUGAGCUGCUCACCUUCACAUUCCCUGGAUAGGGAAGGAUGCCGCUGCAACAUGAGGGAUGGAGAGGAAUUUGCACCUGGGCCACUUUGAAGCAGGUGGCAGUGACUGUCAGGCUACAGCAUCCCACAGACGGCGUUAAGUGUCUGUAGGGGAUGUGGCCAAAGAUGGAUGGCUGAUUUACGGCAGCUCCCUGCUGACCCCGACUUAACAUCCAGGCUGUUAAUGCAGACAGAAUAACAGGGCGCAGUGACAUGGGCCUCCUUAACCCCGGGAAUACUCCUCUCCUUGUGUUGACAUGCAGCCCUAUAGGUUGCCCUGUCCGGGAAUCACACAGCUAUUCAUCAUUGUUUGACAGGUGUGUUUGAGAAGAAAGACAUAGUGGCCUAGAUGACAUCAAUAAGGUCUGAGUGUAUAGCACGAACAUCAUGAGGAAGUUUAGGUAUUUAGGGGGAAACAGCUACAGUUUCGAUAAUAAUAAAAACCCCAUUUUACCCGCGAAAAUGCGCAAAAUAAAGCUGGUGCCUAAAAGAAA
Molecule: long non-coding RNA, 1308 nt
Organism: Perca flavescens (yellow perch)
Lineage: Eukaryota; Metazoa; Chordata; Actinopteri; Perciformes; Percidae
Exons: 7
Source: RefSeq, a predicted model, not a curated record